RNAcentral lists this long non-coding RNA (2460 nucleotides) under Macaca mulatta (Rhesus monkey). RNAcentral's name for it is "lncRNA (ENSMMUG00000061165.1)". Lineage: Eukaryota; Metazoa; Chordata; Mammalia; Primates; Cercopithecidae. The record is from RNAcentral.
AUGAUUAUCAAAUUUAAGCUCUUUUUAAAGUUUUGUUUUUUUUUUUUUUUUUUUGCCUUUUUUGUAAGCUGUCAUAGUAUAACUUAUUUCACCCCUGAGGCUGUCACUUUUUCUCGUGAAAAAGUACAACACAGCUAAGAUUUUCGUGGUGUACCCAGUUGUAGAUUAAAAAAAAAAAAUCAUGUUCUUAAUUAUCUACAAUUCUAGGAAGAAAAGCAACUACUGUGAUUACUCAGGGAACAGAAAAUCCUCUCUGUGUUCUUUCUAAGCAACAUUGCAUAAGAUAUAAAGAAGAAAACAUCUAUUUUAUUUUGAAAUAAGCAUCAAAAGAGCUUGCCUGGUGGGAUUAUAAAAGAGUUCAGUUGGGCUGAGAGUUGCUUAAGCUGGAAGUGCCACACUGUAAGGGAGGGAACAGAAAGAACAGCAGUCCUUUCAGGGGAUUACAGGGCAGUGCUGUGAGCCUGAGAGGCUGCAUUCAGCUACUGGCUGAAACAAAGGCAGAGCCAGAGCUACUCUUAAGUGGAGGGAGAGUGAAUAAAGAAAAUGCCUGGAAUUCAAAAGCUGCCUCUCAACUGGGAUUCAGGAUUGUUCUUUUUGUUUCCUAGGCAUCAAGAAAUCUACAAAUGUUUGGAAAAUAUGUAUACUUUUGAGGUGAGCUGAAUAUGGCUGGGACUUCUGCUUAUCUAGUCUUCAAUCUCCAAUCUCCUCAAUUAGAAGAGGAAAAAUAAAACAGACAGAAUGAAAAAGAUUGCCAUGAGGGAAGUUUCCACUUAAAAAAAAAUAUAUGGAUUGUAAUAGAGGUCAAAACCGAGCUUGAACCUCCGAAGUAUUGGGAUAAGGCUGUGCACUGUGGCUCAUGCAUGUAAUCCCAGCACUUAGGGAGACCAAGGCAGGAGGAUUGCUUGAGACCAGGAGAUCGAGACCAGCCUAGGCAAUAAGUGAGACCUUGUCUCUACAAAAAAUUUAAAAAUUAUCGAGGUGUGGCUGCACUGGCCUGUAGUCCCAGAUACUGAGGAGGCUAAGGCAGGAUAAUCUUUUGAGCCCAGGAGGUUAAGGCUGCAGUGAGCUAUGAUUGCACCACUACACUCCAGCCUGGGUGACAGAGUGAGACUUUGUCUCCAAAAAAAAAAAAAAAAAGAAACAAUGGUAGGUGUGCUCCUGAUUUUGUUCAGUGUUGCCCAAUAAACAAUCCUUUGUUUGAAGUCUUGCCCAUGUCUACCUCUGCCAUAAGACUUUCCCAGGCAUCUCAGCUCAAAGUGAUCUAGAUUCAUAGCACUUAUCGCUAGUAUUGCACAUAUGGCACCAAAUACUUAUGGCCUUGAAUUUUCAUUGAGAUAUGUUGGAUUUGAAUUGACUUUGAAACAUUCUAAGGGAGAAUUCCAGCAGAAAAUUGUGAACUUAAGUCUGUCACUCAGGAAGGGUGCAGUCUAGAGAUACAGAGAUAUAAAGGUGAAAAUCUUCAGAAAAUAGGUGGUAACUGAAACCAGAAGAUAGAACAGGAGUACCUAAAUAAAGGUCUGUAAAAUGAGGAAAGAAAGUUCAGAAAGAAUUCUUAAGAACAUCAUUACUUAAGAAGUACAUAGUAGAAAAAUUAGUGAAAGAUAAUUGUAAGACGUCAGAAAGAACGGUUAAGAUGACAGAAAGAAUGGCUGCUUUAUGCAGGUUUUUAGUUUCCCCAAAGAGCGAGGUAUUGUAUUGUUGAUUUCUGUGUUUUCCAGGACACCUAUCAUAAUUUUAUGCGUGUAGUAUGCCCUCAAUAUUUAUUGAACAAGACAUGAGGAAUAAACACAUAUAAAUAUUGUUCUUAGUUCUCUUUUGAUUGUUCUUUUCUCAGCAUCAACACCAGUACCACUCCUAUUCCAGCGUAUUUAUCUCACCUUUCAGAAGAUAUUGGGUAACAGCAGGGGGCCUGUUAAUGGAGGACUCUGACCUCUAGGGGGAGCUCAAGGAGAAGAGUACUGAAUGAGGGUCCAGACAGUCCUCACUGGGUCACUGUAGUAGCAGAUUGAGCUUUUGGUGAAUUACGAAGGGCUAAGAAGGUCCUGCUUCCACAUGGCUCAAUCUUUAGUUCUUUUGAAAUCAUACCUGUCUUUAAAUGUCACAUGACAGUAAGCGAAUCUAGGCUUAAGUCCCUCGUGGAAAAACUUUCCUAACAUGGAAAACCUAAACAAAAUGCCACAUAGGAUCUAUGGGUUAAAAUAAUGGCCAAAAAACUACAUAUAGCCACUGAAAUGUUUGGCCCAAGGUGUGUGUGUAUGUUCAAUAAUUUGAAUAACUUUGGAACAGGCAUAAAUUUACCACUCUGCCACAGCCCUAACACUUCUUUCACCUAAUACCUGCCCCACUUCACAAAUUUAUUUCUUACCUUUUUGGUCUCUGUAGGCAUUUGAAUUUGCAAAUAUUGUUGAAAUUUUUAAAAGUAUAUUUUUCCAGGUUACAUUCUCCAGACUUUCAUGGUUA